GGCCCUAUGGCCUAAUGGAUAAGGCGUCUGACUUCGGAUCAGAAGAUGGCAGGUCUGAGUCAUGCCAGAGUCG
This 73-nucleotide transfer RNA is filed under the name Echinostoma caproni. It matches the Rfam family "tRNA". Rfam says of the family: Transfer RNA (tRNA) molecules are approximately 80 nucleotides in length. The record is from Rfam by way of RNAcentral. Lineage: Eukaryota; Metazoa; Platyhelminthes; Trematoda; Plagiorchiida; Echinostomatidae.